GCUGGGUGUUGUGGUGUGCACCUGUAAUCCCAGCUACUCAGGAGGCUGAGGCAGGAGAAUCACCUGAACCCGGGAGGUGGAGGUUGCAGUGAGCUGAGAUUGCACCACUGCACUCCAGCCCGGGUGACAGUGUGAGACUCCGUCUCAU
Molecule: non-coding RNA, 148 nt
Filed under: Chlorocebus sabaeus (green monkey)
Lineage: Eukaryota; Metazoa; Chordata; Mammalia; Primates; Cercopithecidae
Source: Rfam by way of RNAcentral